UCCAGUAAGUGUUAAGAACAUCACCCCUAUUAUUGAAAUGGUUUUCUAUAUCAUAACAUUUAUUAUUUGUAGUUUUGGAGACAUAAUGUAAUAUAUUAAAUGACUAAGAUAAAACUAUAGACCAAUGCUUCGAAAACUUAAUCGGACAUUUGAGCCGAUGAAACUUUGGUGUUAUAAUUCAACUGCUUUAAACUGUUCGAAACAAGAUGAAACAUAAUUGAACCGUCCAAAUAACCAAAUUGUAAACCGUACUUUUCUCGGUUCAACUUGUUAAACCGUCGGAUUCAAUUUAGUUUUUAAAACAUUGACUA
RNAcentral lists this long non-coding RNA (311 nucleotides) under Trifolium pratense (red clover). RNAcentral describes it as "long non-coding RNA (TPRA_LNC001752)". The record is from RNAcentral. Lineage: Eukaryota; Viridiplantae; Streptophyta; Magnoliopsida; Fabales; Fabaceae.